This is a long non-coding RNA of Anarrhichthys ocellatus (wolf-eel), 1278 nucleotides long. RefSeq lists it as uncharacterized. The record is from RefSeq and is a predicted model, not a curated record. The transcript is spliced from 5 exons. Lineage: Eukaryota; Metazoa; Chordata; Actinopteri; Perciformes; Anarhichadidae.
UGAUGUAUUUUUAUCUCUCAGGAGAAUGCGUGUGCUCGCUGUCUGCUGAAAACUUGUAUCUGCUGUCUGUGGUGUUUGGAGACGUGCCUCAACUAUCUCAAUCAGAAUGCAUAUGCAGCCACAGCCAUCAACAGCACCAGUUUCUGCACGUCUGCACGCGACGCCUUCGUGAUCCUGGUGGAAAACGCUCUGCGCGUCGCCACAAUCAACGCCGUCGGAGACUUUGUGCUUUUCCUGGGGAAGAUCUUGAUCGUGACGUCCACGGCGUUCGCCGGCGUCCUCCUCCUGAACUACCAGCGGGAUUACGCCGAGUGGCUACUGCCUCUGAUCAUCGUGUGUCUCUUCUCCUUCCUGGUGGCUCACUGCUUCCUGUCCAUCUUUGAGAUCGUGGUGGACGUCCUCUUCCUCUGCUUCGCCAUCGACACCAAGUACAACGACGGCACUCCGGGGAAAGAGUUCUUCAUGGACAAAGCUCUGAUGGAGUUUGUGGAGAGCAGCCGGCGGUUGGGACGGGCGGUGGAGCGUGGACGGAGCCGGGUGAAGGAGGCGGUGUCAGAGGGGGCGGAGAUGAAGCCCAUGGCUCCGGGGACGAGUUCAGCUUGACCAAAAUCAGCCAAUGGGACUUCUUAAAAAGAACAGAGACAUUCCAAAUGUUUAUUUUUACCAACGUGUAACAUGUUUACUAUGGUUUCACUCCAGGGAAAAAAUAUUUUAAUAUAAACUGUAAAAACGUAACAAUGUAACGAAGCACUUUAUAUUGAAGCGCUGCAGAUCUGAAACCGGCUGAUGCAUUUUUUCGUAGUGAUGUCCUUUUUUAUAAAACGUUACCUGAAGUCAUCACGUUAUAACGUUUUUUAUAAGACUCCACCUGGACGCCAUGUUGGAUCAGGAGUGCUGUGAUGUCAUCAGAGAGGCAGAGUCUGUGGUGGUCCUGGUGUUGUUCGGAGUGUUGAUGGCUGUCGUCAUAGAAACAGAACCUGAUUGUAACCCGAACAGGAUUCUGAUGAACUGUUCAGUUUCAGACGCCACGUCACAACAAACUGCUACGACCAACGUGGGGAGCCCAGCUAGCACCAUUGCUAACAAGCUAAUGAAGCUAAUACAGCUAGCCUGUUGGAACACGAGAUGUUUAAUAGUUAUCAUGUUUUAGUUUCUUUAUGUCAUAUUCCUGCACACUUUGUGAACACUCGAUAUAAAGUCAGAAUUUUUUUACUUUUCAAAGUUAACGGUGGUGAUGACGUAAAAUCAUUCUGGUAUAAAUAUGAAUGAUCAUGUGAA